Molecule: ribosomal RNA, 416 nt
Filed under: uncultured bacterium
Lineage: Bacteria
Description: bacterial SSU rRNA
Rfam family: Bacterial small subunit ribosomal RNA
Source: RNAcentral
UAACCGGAUUAGAUACCCUGGUAGUCCACGCCGUAAACGAUGUCGACUUGGAGGUUGUGCCCUUGAGGCGUGGCUUCCGGAGCUAACGCGUUAAGUCGACCGCCUGGGGGGUACGGCCGCAAGGUUAAAACUCAAAUGAAUUGACGGGGGCCCGCACAAGCGGUGGAGCAUGUGGUUUAAUUCGAUGCAACGCGAAGAACCUUACCUGGUCUUGACAUCCACAGAACUUUCCAGAGAUGGAUUGGUGCCUUCGGGAACUGUGAGACAGGUGCUGCAUGGCUGUCGUCAGCUCGUGUUGUGAAAUGUUGGGUUAAGUCCCGCAACGAGCGCAACCCUUAUCCUUUGUUGCCAGCGGUCCGGCCGGGAACUCAAAGGAGACUGCCAGUGAUAAACUGGAGGAAGGUGGGGAUGACGUA